Molecule: ribosomal RNA, 212 nt
Filed under: uncultured bacterium
Lineage: Bacteria
Description: partial 16S ribosomal RNA
Rfam family: Bacterial small subunit ribosomal RNA
Source: RNAcentral
CGCCCGCCGCGCGCGGCGGGCGGGGCGGGGGCACGGGGGGCCUACGGGAGGCAGCAGUGGGGAAUCUUGGACAAUGGGGGAAACCCUGACGCAGCAACGCCGCGUGAAGGAAGAAGGCCUUCGGGUUGUAAACUUCUUUGAUUGGGGACGAAGAAAGUGACUGUACCCAAAAAACAAGCCACGGCUAACUACGUGCCAGCAGCCGCGGUAAU